Molecule: ribosomal RNA, 305 nt
Filed under: uncultured bacterium
Lineage: Bacteria
Description: bacterial SSU rRNA
Rfam family: Bacterial small subunit ribosomal RNA
Source: RNAcentral
AUUAUCCUACGGGGCGCAGCAGUGGGGAAUAUUGCACAAUGGGGGAAACCCUGAUGCAGCAACGCCGCGUGAGUGGAGAAGUAUUUCGGUAUGUAAAGCUCUAUCAGCAGGGAAGAAGAAAGACGGUACCUGACUAAGAAGCCCCGGCUAACUACGUGCCAGCAGCCGCGGUAAUACGUAGGGGGCAAGCGUUAUCCGGAUUUACUGGGUGUAAAGGGAGCGUAGACGGCAUAGCAAGUCUGAAGUGAAAGCGCGUGGCUCAACCGCGGAACUGCUUUGGAGACUGUGAAGCUGGAGUACUGGAG